UAAUUCUUGCCUGGGAUAAGCCUGGGAAACUGGGUCUAAUACUGGAUAUUCAGCAUGCAUGGUGGUUGUUGGAAAAGGGUAAAUGGUCAAGGAGGGACUCGCGGCCUAUCAGCUUGUUGGUGAGGUAAUGGCUCACCAAGGCGACGACGGGUAGCCUGAGGAGGGUGACCGGCCACACUGGGACUGAGACACGGCCCAGACUCCUACGGGAGGCAGCAGUGGGGAAUAUUGUCACAAUGGGCGAAAGCCUGAUGCAGCGACGCCGCGUGAGGGAUGACGGCCUUCUGUAAACCUCUUUCAGUCCGAGGGAAGGAGCGAGAGUGACGGUACCUGCAGAAGAAGCGCCGGCUAACUACGUGCCAGCAGCCGCGGUAGGGCGCAAGCGUUAUCCGGAAUUAUUGGGCGUAAAGAGCUCGUAGGCGGUUUGUCGCGUCUGCCGUGAAAGUUUCCGGGGCUUAACUCCGGAUCUGCGGUGGGUACGGGCAGGCUAGAGUGCUGUAGGGGAGACUGGAAUUCCUGGUGUAGCGGUGAAAUGCGCAGAUAUCAGGAGGAAGGCCCGAUGGCGAAGGCAGGUCUCUGGGCAGUAAAACUGACGCUGAGGAGCGAAAGCAUGGGGAGCGAACAGGAUUAGAUACCCUGGUAGUCCCCUUAACCGUAAACGUUGGGCACUAGAUGUGGGGAACCACGUUUUCCGCGUCGUAGCUAACGCAUUAAGUGCCCCGCCUGGGGGCAGUACGGCCGCAAGGCUAAAACUCAAAGGAAUUGACGGGGGCCCGCACAAGCGGCGGAGCAUGCGGAUUAUGAUUCGAUGCAACGCGAAGAACCUUACCAAGGCUUGACAUGGACAAAUCGAAAUAGGGUUUCCCUUCGGGGCUGGUUCACAGGUGGUGCAUGGUUGUCGUCAGCUCGGGGUGCGGUGAAUACGUUCCCGGGCCUUGUACACCUACCGCCCGUCAAGUCACGAAAGUCGGUAACACCCGAAGCCGUU
This 988-nucleotide ribosomal RNA is filed under the name Zhihengliuella sp. CHS8. RNAcentral's name for it is "bacterial SSU rRNA". It matches the Rfam family "Bacterial small subunit ribosomal RNA", at positions 126 to 1431 of the family's 1533-position model. The record is from RNAcentral. Lineage: Bacteria; Bacillati; Actinomycetota; Actinomycetes; Micrococcales; Micrococcaceae.